Molecule: ribosomal RNA, 446 nt
Filed under: uncultured bacterium
Lineage: Bacteria
Description: bacterial SSU rRNA
Rfam family: Bacterial small subunit ribosomal RNA
Source: RNAcentral
AUUGAACGCUGGCGGUAUGCUUAAGACAUGCAAGUCGAACGGUAACAGACCUUCGGGUGCUGACGAGUGGCGGACGGGUGAGUAACACGUGGGAAUCUACCUUGUAGUGGGGGAUAAGCCAGGGAAACUUGGACUAAUACCGCAUACGCCCUAAGGGGGAAAGGAGCAAUUCGCUAUAAGAUGAGCCCGCGUCUGAUUAGCUAGUUGGUGAGGUAAAGGCUCACCAAGGCGACGAUCAGUAGCUGGUCUGAGAGGAUGACCAGCCACAUUGGGACUGAGACACGGCCCAGACUCCUACGGGAGGCAGCAGUCGGGAAUAUUGGACAAUGGGGGCGAACCCUGAUCCAGCAAUACCGCGUGUGUGAAGAAGGCCUGCGGGUUGUAAAGCACUUUUAGUAGGGAAGAUAAUGACGUUACCUACAGAAAAAGCACCGGCUAACUCCGUG